RNAcentral lists this unclassified non-coding RNA (1926 nucleotides) under Hevea brasiliensis (rubber tree). The stretch from base 914 to 1005 matches the Rfam family "Small nucleolar RNA Z103". The record is from RNAcentral. Lineage: Eukaryota; Viridiplantae; Streptophyta; Magnoliopsida; Malpighiales; Euphorbiaceae.
GAGGAAACCCUAAAACGUUAAAGCGGAAGCAGCAGCAGCUGUAAAAACCUUAACAAUGACGCAGAAAGACAAUCUAUUCAAAGGACAACAAAAGAGGAAAACAAUCCCUCCUAAUCGCCAUGGCAAAGUACCCAUUAAACGCAAAGGUCUCUUUUUCUUUCUUUCUCUCUCAAUCUAUAUAUACUUGUAUCUCUGUGUGUGAUUGUUUCAUUAUUAAAUUUCAAGAAUUGUUUACAUAUUUUUUCACCUUUUGUAAGGAAAGAGAUUUGUGAAGCCAUCAAAGACUACAAAGGAGAUGGAUGUUGAUCGGGUAAGUUUUAUUUUCUUCACUUCUUUUUUCGUUUUGUUCUUUGAUUAUGAAUGGAUGAAACGAAUUGCUUUUGCUGGUAAGUUAUGAGUUAAUUUGUCGGAUAGUAACGUAAAAAGAAAAUAUUUGUUGGUCUGAUGCAUUUGAUUCAUUACACAAAAUUUUCUAUAAUGAGAUUGAUUAAACCCACAAUUUUCUGUUACUUUGCUUUUUUCCAAUUUCCCUUGCUCAUGAAAUUUUCAUUGAAAAUGAGCAUUCACUUCGCAAAGAAUUUGAAAUCCUUAGAACUUUUUUAAUAAUAGUUUAUCAAGCCAAAAGCUUUUAGUGGAAUUGGCAUUUGUGAUUUUUUAAACUUGUUUUUACUACUAUUUGUUAGGCAAGAGUGAGAAAUUGUGUUGAAUUUGCGUCAAAUACUGAUUACCAGCACUCUUUGUACAAUGGGUGGUGAGUAUGAGCUGACGCCACAGCCGCUCCAUUUCUGCAAAGCUGAGGUGGCUAGCUUUGCCAGCCACAUUAUGCAGAUAUGGAAAAUUUUUCAUUGUAGUUUUCUUGUUUUCAUUUUUUUUUUAAAUUGUUUUUGGGUUCAAAAUCUUAUUUAUGGUGGAGAUGGAAGGGAUGAUUAUUUCCCCAGAUGAUCGACGCUGAAUAUACUGUGCGAUUUUUCUCUUUUGAGAAUCCAAGCCAGUCUUUUGAUCCAUCUUCAUCUUUUAUGUAUAAUGAAUAUAUUUUUUCUUUAAAUUCUUUUCUUUUGCCCUGUGCUGUUGUGUAUGUACAUAUGAGAAUGUGUGAUGACUACAAGAGAAGUGAAGAUGAUGUGCGAAAUUACAAGACAAGUGAGGAUACUUUCGCCGUAUGCAUAUAAUUUGUUCCCAUCUGUGCCCUAUCAAAUUCUUGCAAUCCUAAUCUUGGGAAUUUAUUUGUGAAGCCAGAUAUUUAUGCUUCCCGAUAGUAACCUUAAAAUUUAUUUGCUUUAAGUAUUCUUAUGUUAUGUUGAACAAUUUGGCGUCUAAAAAUUUGGGUCUAUAAAUGGGGUUUUGUUACCUAUUUUUAUUCAAAUUCCUUGGUGUUUGUUCACUCAUUUGAUAUGAGCUUAUCAAUCUGCACUUAAUUUUAGUGUACAAUUGCUUUUACGAUGAUAAAAACCUAAACUUUGGCUGGCUAUCUGUUCUAAUCAUGCUAAAAAGCUCAUCAAAAUAAAAACAUCUUGAAACACAUUGUAUUCUACUUUACUUGCCUCGAAAAGGAAAAAUGGAGGGAGGAGUGAGGGAGAUAGAUGUCAUUAACUUGAAGAAUGUUAUCUAACCCGAGCAUAAGGAGAUGCAUGAUUCUUGCAGUCAUUAUAUUUUGCAACUGCAUGUAUAUUACCAUUCAUUGUUUUGGAUUCUGUUUGUAAACUCUACUAAUGGCGCAUUUCCCCCUCAUCUGAUCUGAACAGGAGUUGAGCAAAUUCAUUAAUCAAUGCAAUGAGGUGAAAGCAGCCACAAUUGCUAACAAGGAAGGUGGCCAACUAAGUAUUGUCAAGGCACCACCAGAAACUUCUGGUGUUGCAAAGAAAUAAAUUUAGGCGAUGCUACAGAAGUAUGACGUAGGAAUUUACAUUAUCUUGAAACAUGUCCAGA